Alligator sinensis (Chinese alligator) is the source of this 4481-nucleotide long non-coding RNA. RefSeq lists it as uncharacterized. The transcript has 3 exons. The record is from RefSeq and is a predicted model, not a curated record. Lineage: Eukaryota; Metazoa; Chordata; Crocodylia; Alligatoridae.
AAGGCCGCCUGAGUCUGGUCCCCGUCGUCUGCGGGCAGUCAUCGACUCGAGGACGCCGCGUCAAGAUUGUCACUUCAAACCCUCACGCACAACUGCGAGGCGCGCAAUCACAAGUGCGAGGAAGAUCCUCAACGUGCCAUAGCACAUUUCCAGAGGAGACGAAGACUGAAAAGUCAGAGCUAACACCCCUGGAAAAAUGAAGAAUAAAAUAGGAAGGGAGGGAAAGCCUACUGAUAGAGAUACAGAGAUGCACGCUCCAGGAGCACUCAAAGACAAAUGUAUAAUUCCAAAAUACUUAAGAAGGACAGGAAGUGCACAGAAGACAAGCUUGGCUAAACAGCAAGAUCUUCAGUGAGUUGAAUCUCAAAAAGGAAUCUUAUAAAAAGUGAAAAUUUGGCUCUAUUACUCAGGAGGAGUCUAAAAGUAUUGCACAGGGAAACUGGGAGAAAACCAGGAAGGCCCAGGGUUACUUCUAGAGUACUGAAAGAAUUGGCUGAGAUAAUUUCAGAGCCAUUAGCCAUUUUCUGUGAGAACACCUUGACAACAUUUGGUGAGAUCUGACCUGCUGUGGCCUUGCUCUUCUUGCCUCUGGGAUGAAGCAAACACAAUGCUCAUUUUUAAGAAAGGGAAGAAAGACAAUAGAGGGAAUUACAGGCAGUCCAUCUGUCCUUGAUGCCUGUCAAGAUCAUGGAGCAGGUCAUCAAGGAAUCUGAUUAAGCACCUGUGGGAGAACAAGAUGAUUGGGAACAGCCAACAUGGAUCCAAGAGAAAGCCAUGCCUGACCAACCUGGUUUCCUUCUAUGACAAAGUGACAGUCUCUGGCUGGAGGGAGAGCAGUGGAUGUGAUGAACCUUGAUUUUACUGAGCCUUUUGACCCUGUCUCCCAUUACAUUCACAUUAAUGAGAUAAAGAAAUGCAGUCUAAAGGGCUAUAAGGUGGGUAUGUAACUGGUUAAGAAAAGGAAUUGCUUUUUAAACAUAACAAUGUUUUAAAUGUUUCUUUGUUUCCCGUGCGACUGAUAUCACGUGCCACAUUUCAGUUCAGUGAGCAUUUUUACAGCCAAGUUACAUUAUCCAGAAAAUAAAGGGAAUGAUAACUGAAUUGCUGAAAGAACCUCAUGGGUAGGCACAAAAAGCAUCAUUAUAAUCGCACAUCAUUAUAAUCAUCACAACCUUAUUUGGAUCUAUCCUGGUGUUUCCCAGCCCCCCUGACAUGCAAAUCCUUGCUAAAGUUCUUAGCUAAUUUCUCUCCGUCUGUGUUGCACUUAAAUAAUUUUAGUCUCCAGUCCAUUCUUAGUGCAAAGCGUCUUGUAUCUCAAUUUUUUUUUUACUGGACAAGCCUUUUGCUGCUUUCUUUCUGCCAUGAAAGCAUUAAAAGCUAAAAGUUUAUCAGCUACAUGCCAAUAGUUUACCCAUACAUGCCUUUCUUUGGUGCAAGUAUAACUAGCCUGUCCAAAACAAUUGAGAUUAAGAAACCUAAUUUGAUUAUGCCAGGUCUUGUCUUCACAGUCCUAUAAACCAAUUCAGGAGGAAGAAAGUUACCAAGCUGCCAAGAAUUCAUCACAUCCUGGCACUGGUUCUUUUGUAAUAAAUGUAAUUUUGUUGUUUAAAUAAUAAGGGAAGGGAAAAUAAUAUCAUUUUAUCUGCAUGCUCCAUGACAACCAUUCUUCUUGAAUGAUCUCAGGAUUAAAUUCUUCAAGGGGAUAAGAUGUCUACCACUGAGGAAUUUAUAGCACAUCCUUAUCCUGGGUGGAAUCCUUUCCACUGCCAGCUGAACAGUUUACACUAACAGCGAGAUGUCCCAUUGCAUGAGGGGGUUUACAAGGUUAAAAGAUAAAGUACAGCCAAAUAAAGAAUGGAAAUCCAAAAACACUGCAAGUGUACGCAGAAGAGAAGAGAGACAAGACAGUGGCUCCCUGAUGUGAUUGAUUAAAAUGUGGUUAGACAUUGUCAUUUGAAAUGAAUGGCAGGAAUUCAAAGGUACAGUUCCUGGAAUAAACCAUUUUAAACUUUUUUUUAGUCACUUAAGUCAGAACAGAUCACUGUGCUUCCAAACAGAUUAGAUAUGCAAGCUAAGAAUGAGUUUUUUCUACAUAGAUGUAUUUUUGCUAUAACUGCACAUGAGGGAAGAAAAUUCAGCCUGGAGUAUCUGAAAGAGUAUUUCAUAGAUGUGCAGGUGCUAGCUCUGUACAGGUAUCCACUCAAACUCUCACACUACAAGAGAAGCUGCUGUUUAUCUUCCAGACCUAAUACUAGGCCUGUGAGAGUUUCCACAAAAAGGAAGACAUGUAAAUGAAAUGGACCUGUUUGCCAGUCUGCAGGUGAAGAAGAUUCAUCCUCAGAGGGAACUGCCAUUAUCAAUGAAAAAGAAACUUCUGUGUCUCGACUCUGUGAUAGAUCUGGAAUGGCGCGUCACUGUGAUCCAAGCGCAGUGCUCAGACUGCAAAACCUGAUGAGACAGAAAUUGUUCUUUGCUGUGAGUUAGUGCUAACAACUACGUCCAAGGAGCUUUACUUUAAUGUGCUGGAAAGACUUUUAAAAUGUCAGGAAAUCCUGCUCGUGCAAACAGACACGCAACAGUUGCAGCACAUGAAAGGGCAAAUAUUGUGGCGUGUACAUGUACUCAACAUUAGCAAUAUGGAGCCUGGAAGUCGCAACUUGUUUAAAUAGAUCAGACGGGUGGAUCCAAUGGAAGAGGUCUUUGGUCAACUUCACUUGCCUUGAACCUAGUCUGCCUUACCGAGAUGGUGUCAGUUUCUUCAGCAAAAGAGAAUUCAAAAUGCUUACAACCUUGUUCUUGAUGGAAGGAAGUUCAUCUGUAUAAUGGGGAGAGAUGCUAAAGUAAAUGGGGGCAGGAGUAGUUAAUCUUGACCAGUAGUAUCUUUUCAGGGGACAUGAGGUUGCCCUCUUUUAUAGGUUUCUCUGACUCCCUGCAAACAGCAGCUUCAGGAGAAUGUUUGGAUGACUGUUAAUCAGGAAGUUCAGUUGUUGGAAGGUGAAAGCAAUGGUGAAUAGGAUGAAAAAAGAAACCAAACCAGGGUUUGCCUGAUGAAAAAGCGCAUGGAUGGGUUACUGUGUGAUUUAGUAUACAAGUGUGGGAGAGUGCACGAGACUUGGCUCUAGACUGUUCCUAUGUGUAGGGAGAAAGCAUGUGGAAGGAGUCAAAGGCACACUUAUUUUUCACGCACAUACCAGGCAGUAUAUGAUAAUGCAUUUAUAUUCGCUGAGAGCAUAAUUAUUAGGGACAGUAUGUGUAUGUUAUAGAACAAGUAUGGUUGCAAGCCUGACGCCGAGAAGGAGAAAAUGUCUGCUCAGGGGCACAUGGGUUUGUCAGUUUAGGUCACCGAUUGCUGUGUAGGGGCAAAAUAGCAAAUGCAGCACAGGGAAAGACAGAGAGAACCUACUGGGUUUUAUGCUGCAAACAUGGGGUUUUAUAGCCUUCUUGCAUGUCGUGAAGAUUCACGGCACCUGCCUGCACGUCAGAUCCCCCCAACAGGCUAGGCUGUAGGAGAUAAAAGUUCUGGCCUUGCACAGCUCUCGGGGUGUAGGAGUUAAAGAGAAAUGUAAAUGCCCUUGCAGUAAAUGCAAGGUAAAUUUUCAUUCACACACUCUCUCUCUGGUUCCAUUUUUCUUUUCAUGCUUUAAUCGUUCUGACACCAAGCCGUACAAAAGUAAUUUAAAAUCGACAUGACUGACACUUGGUAGAUAGCACAACUCAAGACAGAGCUCCACCUCCUCCUCGAGAGCGCUGAAAGGGCUCUUUGGAUUGGCUGCAGGACCUGAGGCAGCUGAGAAGGGCCUAAGAAAAACAUGGCAAACAAUUAAUUUGCUAAUUUAGUUUUCUGUUUAAUUUGAAACCAGAAAAUUGUCAGCCACCCAUCAGCCCACCAGCCUGGCUGCCCAGCCUGGUGGCAACGGUCGCAGUGCUUGCUAGCCAAGAGGGGAUGCUCCUUGUAAUGCUGGGCACUUUCCUGUUGAAGCAUCGAUGGCAGUGGAGAGGUCUGGGAUGGGGUUUUACCACUCGAGAUCUGUAGCACUGAGUUUUGUCACCUCUGUUCCGUACACCUGUGCCAGCCCCUCACCGCCUGUCUUCCUAGAAAUGUAACACACACAAAUGCACCGUCCUUGGACAACUGCUCCGGAAAUUUCCCAGUCUAGGCUAAAACGUGCUUGCCCGGCCUUAGCAUGAAAAAAAGCAUGAUUUAGUUAUAACUGAUUUGCCUCGGCCAAUCAGCAUUUGCACAAGGCUGCCCUGUGCUCAGUAGUUAGAAGGUCUGCGAGGCGUAAUAGCUCUCGAAGUCCUGUAGUAUGUCAGGGCUAAUGCCCUUUGAUGGAAUAAGAAAUGCUGUAAUUUGAUUUCCCCUUUUUCAGCUGUGAAGGAGAGCAUGUAAUUUUGAAUCUAGUUGGGGGAGGCCUUCUCAAAUUUGUAAACACUCUAUGCAGAAACCUGUGCGUACUUUGGAGGUAAUAAACUAAAUUGUA